UGUUCAAAGAGCAAGUGUUCUAUCUGUAUAGGACCCUGUACGACAACAAUAAGCAAAGCCCCUUUUAGAAUCCAUGAUGGAUGAGUAGCCAGAGUGAAAAAUAAGCAUUCAUUGUCUUAAAACACUGACAUUUUGUAGGAGGCACUUGUCACUACGUGUGGUAGGCAGAGUUUCCAAAUGGGCUCAGAAGUAAAAUUUGUGAAGUUGCUUCUCCAUACCAGACACAUGUCACACAUGUUAACUCACUUGAUCCUCACUCUAAUCUCCUCCCUGUAAAUGACCAAACUAAGUAUAAGUGACCUGCUCAACUUACUAAUUACAACCACAGGCGAAAGAAAGUCUACCCACUUUCCACUUCGUCACACCGCUUCCUGAUAACUGUUCUUUGUGGUCACAACCAUUAUCACAAUCAGCAUAUGUAAUUCAGACAGAAGUAGCUACUUCUUCCUAGUUUGUCAAUAUUAGGAAUAUGGAUUGUUGAAUAAGCAAAAAAUAAAAAAUAACCAGACCUUAAAUACUUACCUUCUUUAGAGGAAGGAUGGGAUCUCAUCUUUUGCUUCUUGUUAACUUCCCUGUAAUGUUGGGAAACAUGUUUCAUAAAUUCUAUUAGGAAGUUGUGGCAGACACUAUUCACUGGUUCAUGACCCCAACUGUGACUUUAAAUCCUCUGAGUCUCUUUUGUCAGUGGAAAAAGAUGACUUUCCUAUGUCGAGGGAGAGUAGCUUUCCUUUGCUUAAAAACAAUGUAAUAACCUCACCUAGGUUAGUUUGCCAAGGCAGGAUGUCCAUCAUCCCUACAAUCCUUUAUUGCCACUAGACCCAUAACUACAGUUAGAUAUCUGCAAAUAUAUUACCUUACAUUUCAAAAUAAAUUUUGCAGAUGUGAUUAAGUUAAAGAUACUGAGAUUUGGAGAUUAUCCUGGAUUAACUAACUGGGCUCAAACUGAGCAUUUCACAGCCCAUUCCAUCACCAGGGACACCUGAACACUUCUACAAGUUAACAGAAGUCAGACAUAUAUCCUACUGCUUCCAUCACAGCUGGCUCUUACCUGCAAGUGUCAUCUACUGAUCUGUAGGUCCACCUGCACAGUCUGUUAAAACAUCUGCUGGCACAGUAUGCAGUGCUUAGGAAAAAGAUAAGCUUCUUGUGGCCUCUGCUACCACCACCACCCAGGCCACCCUAGCUAGUCAGGAGGUCAUGAGCUGUCUUACUUCCUUGGUACACCAUACUAUAACCAGCACUUGAGAAAGCCACCACACUAAAGGUAUAUAGAACCAAGAAAUCAUACAGGAUUUUUGUCACUGAAUGCACCAAGAAGCAAAGCCAAAUGGCCCUACUCAAAAUACAUCACAGUCCCAUCCUCAAGAAAAAAAGGUCCUUCCCCAAUGAAAGUAAAUUUAAAAUAAGAAGCAGCAACAGUUUUUCCAGAUGCACAGAAAUCUAAAUAAAGAUACACAAAGCAUGGCAUGGUAUUAUGACAGCCACAAAGGAAUAAAGUAAUUCUCUAGCAAUGAAUCCUAACCAAAAAGAAAUCCUCAAAAUGCCAUAUAAGGAAUUCAGAAUAUUGAUUUUAAGGCAGGGUGUAGUGGCUCACACCUGUAAUCCUAGUAUUUAGGGAAGCCAAGGCAGGAGGAUUGCUUGAGGCCAUAAGUUCAAGGCCAGGCACAGUAAUAGAGAGACCCUGUCUUUACAAAAAAAAAAAAAAAUUAAUUAGCCAGUCAUGAUGGUGCAUGCCUGUAGGCCUAGCUCCUCAGGAGGCUGAAGUGGGAAUAUUGCUUGAGCCCAGGUGUUUGAGAUUGCAGUGAGCUAUAAUCAUGCCAAUGCACUCUAGCCUUGGUAAUAGAGUGAGACUCUGUCUCUAAAAACCAAUACAGAGAAAUUUUUUUAAAAAAUGAAUUCAGAAUAUGAAUGAAAAAUUUGCAAAGGAGAUAGAUAUCUUUCCGUGUAAAGACAGAACAUAUAAAAAUGAAAAAUUAAUUGAAGGAAUUACAAAAUAUAUUGAAAGCUUCAACAAAAGACUAGACCAAGCAAAAGAAAAAAAUCUUAUAACUUGAAAAUAGGUCAUUUGAGUUAACCCUGUCAGAUAAAAAUAAAGAAAAUAUAAUUUUAAAAGAAUAAGGCUUUCAAGAUAUAUAGGAAUACAUAAAGGGACCAACUUUAGUAAUCUAAACAUUAUUCCUGAGGAGGAGGAAAAAGAA
This 2198-nucleotide long non-coding RNA is filed under the name Homo sapiens (human). RNAcentral describes it as "non-protein coding lnc-SSTR1-6:1". The record is from RNAcentral. Lineage: Eukaryota; Metazoa; Chordata; Mammalia; Primates; Hominidae.